AUUGAACGCUGGCGGCAGGCCUAACACAUGCAAGUCGAGCGGAUGAAGGGAGCUUGCUCCUGGAUUCAGCGGCGGACGGGUGAGUAAUGCCUAGGAAUCUGCCUUGUAGUGGGGGAUAACGUCCGGAAACGGGCGCUAAUACCGCAUACGUCCUGAGGGAGAAAGUGGGGGAUCUUCGGACCUCACGCUAUCAGAUGAGCCUAGGUCGGAUUAGCUAGUUGGUGGGGUAAAGGCCUACCAAGGCGACGAUCCGUAACUGGUCUGAGAGGAUGAUCAGUCACACUGGAACUGAGACACGGUCCAGACUCCUACGGGAGGCAGCAGUGGGGAAUAUUGGACAAUGGGCGAAAGCCUGAUCCAGCCAUGCCGCGUGUGUGAAGAAGGUCUUCGGAUUGUAAAGCACUUUAAGUUGGGAGGAAGGGAAGUAAGUUAAUACCUUGCUGUUUUGACGUUACCAACAGAAUAAGCACCGGCUAACUUCGUG
This 484-nucleotide ribosomal RNA is filed under the name uncultured bacterium. RNAcentral's name for it is "partial 16S ribosomal RNA". It matches the Rfam family "Bacterial small subunit ribosomal RNA", at positions 30 to 507 of the family's 1533-position model. The record is from RNAcentral.